Molecule: small nucleolar RNA, 122 nt
Filed under: Nannospalax galili (Upper Galilee mountains blind mole rat)
Lineage: Eukaryota; Metazoa; Chordata; Mammalia; Rodentia; Spalacidae
Description: Small nucleolar RNA SNORA40 (ENSNGAG00000008892.1)
Rfam family: Small nucleolar RNA SNORA40
About the family: The snoRNA ACA 40 belongs to the H/ACA family of snoRNAs and guides the pseudouridylation of 28S rRNA subunit at position U4565. NB This family has a high threshold value to exclude a large number of closely related sequences that do not appear to have conserved H and ACA boxes, and may be pseudogenes.
Source: Rfam by way of RNAcentral
GGCACUUGUAUGUGUUGACCUGGUAGACAAAUGCAUAAAAGACAGGUAUUAAAAUAAAUCCUCUUUUGCAAGCCAGAACUUAUUGUUCGAUAUGAACUUUGAUACAUAUAAGAAAGAAUAAG